AAAAAACUACCAAAACCGAGAACCUCAAGAAGUGGAGAUUUCUCGGCUGUUGAGGAACACCGGAGGUCGCUCCGGCCACCACGUCACCAGAAACGGACCAAGAGGAGUACUAGGGAUGGAAGGAGGAAGAAAUUUACAUGUGGGAUGGCUUGUAUUGAGCUCAAACGCAGUUUCUUCCUUGAAACCCUAGCAAUGGCGUUUUUUUAUUAGAUUCACAAGAUAACUUUCGAGAUUUUUCAAACAAAAGAAGGAAAGGGAACGAUCUAAUAGUCAAAGGGAUCACAUUGGUUUCUAAGAUUCGAAAGGCACAGGCUUAAAACGGGAAAACAGAAACAGACGUUACCUGCGUGAGGAAGGAGACAGCUUUUCCGAGUUUGGCACAUAUGGUCCCUGUGGUAUUGGCAUAUUACAGAUUCUACCCCAUUUGCUAUUUCUCUUAAUUAAAUGGUUUCUAAAAUUGUAAACAGCUUACAAAUAUUACCAAUAUUACCAAUAUUUUUAGAAUUGAUUUAGUUUAAUCAACUUACAAAUAUUACCAAUAUUUUUCAUUUUAGUUAUUUAUUUAUUUUUAUUUUUAUUUUCAUUUUCUUUAUAUUAUUAUUUAUUUAUUUUUGUUUCGAUUAUUUGAAUAUUAUUUAUUAACCCUUUCUUAGAAUAAUUAAACGGAAACGCGCAUUACAAAUAUGGAACAAUUUGUAUCAGUGCUUCAAAACUUGGGUUGUUUGACUUUUUUUAAGUUAAUUUCUAUGUUGGAAACGAAUCGGCAUGAUAAGUUGAUCGAUUUUGGGUUUCUAAAUGCCCAACUGUUUCAAGGGUCGAUAAUUUGGUGGUUUUAUUUGUAAUUUGAAUAAUAAUGUUGGAAGUUUCUUACUUCAUAUAGUCUGAGAGUUCAGAUUGAGUUGAUGGUUUUGAUUAUUUAUAUAUUUCUCAUUUAAAUAAGCUAAUUUUAUACUAAAAUUGCUAUUCAAAUAGGGUUUGUGGGUGUUCUAAAAUUGAUUGUUUUUUUUUUCAUUGAUGCAGUUCGAGAUGUUGUAGAGGGUUCCAUGCUGACACAAGGUGAUGAUUUGACUAUGGCUCAUUUUUCCUUGGGCAACUUUUAUUUUGAGUAAAAAUGAUAAUUUUGUUAAGGUCACUUUCCUAUUCUUCAAUCAUUUGAAUAAUAUUUUUGGAAGUUUUGUUGCUUCAUAUAGUCUAGACUAGAGGUGGCAAUCGUGUCGUGUCGG
This 1223-nucleotide long non-coding RNA is filed under the name Lactuca sativa (garden lettuce). Its description in RNAcentral is "long non-coding RNA (LSAT_LNC001254)". Lineage: Eukaryota; Viridiplantae; Streptophyta; Magnoliopsida; Asterales; Asteraceae. The record is from RNAcentral.